CAUAUACUCCCUCUGUUCUGAAUUACUUGUCUUAGAUUUGUCUAGAUACGGAUGUAUUUAGCACUAAAAUGAGUCUAGAUACAUUUGUAUCUAGACAAAUCCAAGACAAGUAAUUUAGAAAGGAGGGAGUAUAUA
Triticum aestivum (bread wheat) is the source of this 135-nucleotide non-coding RNA. The record is from Rfam. NCBI's taxonomy places the organism in Eukaryota, Viridiplantae, Streptophyta, Magnoliopsida, Poales, Poaceae.